Spinacia oleracea (spinach) is the source of this 745-nucleotide long non-coding RNA. RefSeq lists it as uncharacterized. The record is from RefSeq and is a predicted model, not a curated record. The transcript is spliced from 2 exons. NCBI's taxonomy places the organism in Eukaryota, Viridiplantae, Streptophyta, Magnoliopsida, Caryophyllales, Amaranthaceae.
UUCAGUUCUGUUCAAUUCAGUUCAGAAACAUUCAUUCAAUUGAAUUCAAUUCAAUUCAAUUCUAAAGAACAUAACCUAACUCAGGAACGGUUCCAUAAGUUGAAUAGAAAGCACUAGAUUUUUAAUGUCGAAAACCAUAGACAUAGAGCAAGAACACGACAGAUUAAUUUCUUCAUUUGAUUUCACCAGAAAAAAAAAGUGUCUUCAUUUGAGGAAGGUUACCACCGUGAACGGCGGCAAUCGAAACUUUAUCAAUGCAGUGAAGGCUCAACAACGUUCAAUGAGGUUGGAUGAGAGUGGCUGGUUGAUGACAGGAAUCAAGUAGACCUCAUCAUAAGAGUGAUAGCUGCUAUUUUCACCUGUCUGCACCUCAUAUUCGAUGGAGAGGCGUUUGUUUUGAGGAAAUGGUAGAUCUUUGAUAGAUGGAUCCUUGCACAUGCCAAAACAACAGGUUGGUGUUGAUUCUUCAUCUUGAAGAACCAAGUAACCAGAAUUUCGACCUUCCGGAAGCAAUGAGAUGGCCUCCGGAGAGUUCUUGUAAAGAGAUAAAGGUCUGGUGGUGUACAUUUUCUGCCUUCAAUUCUCAGUAACCAGGUGCCUUCAAUUGCUGUCUAUUUGUACAUUGAUUAUUUGGGGAUAACAGUUGGUCUAUUCUUUUUUUGUUGCCUAAAUGUCUUGGUUGACUUGUUACAAUAUAAAAUAAUAUAAAUACUCGUACUUGAUGACGACUACGAGAAUGUAACAA